GGCAUGUUAAGUCAGAUGUGAAAGCCCUGGGCUUAACCUGGGAACGGCAUUUGAAACUGGCAAGCUAGAGUUGAGUAGAGGGGGGCGGAAUUUCCGGUGUAGCGGUGAAAUGCGUAGAUAUCGGAAGGAACACCCGUGGCGAAGGCGGCUCCCUGGACUCAAACUGACGCUGAGGUACGAAAGCGUGGGUAGCAAACAGGAUUAGAUACCCUGGUAGUCCACGCCCUAAACGAUGCCAACUAGGUGUUGGGGAAGGAGACUUCCUUAGUACCGUAGCUAACGCGUGAAGUUGGCCGCCUGGGGAGUACGGUCGCAAGAUUAAAACUCAAAGGAAUUGACGGGGACCCGCACAAGCGGUGGAUGAUGUGGAUUAAUUCGAUGCAACGCGAAAAACCUUACCUACCCUUGACAUGUCCGGAAUCCUGCUGAGAGGUGGGAGUGCUCGAAAGAGAGCCGGAACACAGGUGCUGCAUGGCUGUCGUCAGCUCGUGUCGUGAGAUGUUGGGUUAAGUCCCGCAACGAGCGCAACCCUUGUCAUUAGUUGCCAUCAUUUAGUUGGGCACUCUAAUGAGACUGCCGGUGACAAACCGGAGGAAGGUGGGGAUGACGUCAAGUCCUCAUGGCCCUUAUGGGUAGGGCUUCACACGUCAUACAAUGGUCGGUACAGAGGGUCGCCAACCCGCGAGGGGGAGCCAAUCUCACAAAGCCGAUCGUAGUCCGGAUUGGAGUCUGCAACUCGACUCCA
Molecule: ribosomal RNA, 745 nt
Filed under: uncultured Rhodocyclaceae bacterium
Lineage: Bacteria; Pseudomonadati; Pseudomonadota; Betaproteobacteria; Rhodocyclales; Rhodocyclaceae
Description: bacterial SSU rRNA
Rfam family: Bacterial small subunit ribosomal RNA
Source: RNAcentral